GAAUCUUCUGAAAUGUCUGCCGAAUGCCUGACACUGAAGUGAUAUAAGACCUGCAUUAGAAGAGCUUCAUCUGAGUGUAAUAUGCUGCCCUGGGAGGGUGAGUGCUCAAUGAGACCCGGCAUACAGCAUCAACAGCACCUUUUUGGCUCAAUCAUAAGCAUUCAUGCUUGAAGAGGCUGAGUAUGCAAAUGUCAUUGGAAAAAGAAGAGAGACAAGAAACACUGAAGACAACCAUGAGAUACUAAGAACGAGUUAAAAGAGAUAAAAGCGUGCAAAUGCCAAACAGAAGCUGAAAUAUUGAAGGAUUCUGAAGGAUUAAGGUCUUCAUGUGUGGUGCAAACAUUUGAAGCAAAUGCAACAGAAUUGCCCCGAGUCUGCUCAAGAGCCCAUCGCUGCUUCCUAUGUGGUCACACUACAAAGUCAAACUAAUAAUAAUGUAUGGUUGGUUACCCUUCUGAAAAUAACUGCAAGUAUUGAGUGCUGUCAUCAUGGAGAACCCAGACCUCCUGAAGUAAGAGGGAAAAUUGAAUUGACUCGCAGGAGGCCAGAAUGCCACCCACAGAGGUGCUUGAUUGCCAGAAAAUGCUGAGUUCCUGCUACCUGGAAUCAUUGGUGUCUGAUAUCCAGCAUCGUACUGAAAGACUGUGGCAAACCUGCAGAUCAGAGACAUAUGCAAUACAUUUUCUAACUACUUUGCGUGUUCUCAAGAGUAGUCUUGGUGUAAUAGAUAUCGCGGUGGUCAAAAGAGGAUGAAACACAAUCCAGGAAGGCUGACAUUCAGCAAAAUAUUGGGUGAGAACCUGGAAACCCACUGGUCAUCAUGGACUUUGACACAGAGAGGAAAUCUGUCUGAAAUUUAUUUGAGAGAUUUAUUUAAUUUAUCUAUUGUAGGAUAUACCUUUCUACUUCCGCUGCUAAUACAGAUCCUCUUAACACAUACAGAUCUCUUCAGUAGAUCUCCAUUUGAAUUAAUGCCUAUUUUUA
This 984-nucleotide long non-coding RNA is filed under the name Numida meleagris (helmeted guineafowl). RNAcentral's name for it is "lncRNA (ENSNMEG00000023182.1)". The record is from RNAcentral. Lineage: Eukaryota; Metazoa; Chordata; Aves; Galliformes; Numididae.